RNAcentral lists this ribosomal RNA (245 nucleotides) under uncultured bacterium. RNAcentral describes it as "partial 16S ribosomal RNA". It matches the Rfam family "Bacterial small subunit ribosomal RNA", at positions 524 to 768 of the family's 1533-position model. The record is from RNAcentral.
UACGAAGGGGGCUAGCGUUGCUCGGAAUUACUGGGCGUAAAGGGCGCGUAGGCGGAUACUUAAGUUGGGGGUGAAAGCCCGGGGCUCAACCUCGGAAUUGCCUUCAAUACUGGGUAUCUUGAGUUCGGGAGAGGUGAGUGGAACUCCGAGUGUAGAGGUGAAAUUCGUAGAUAUUCGGAAGAACACCAGUGGCGAAGGCGACUCACUGGCCCGAUACUGACGCUGAGGCGCGAAAGCGUGGGGAG